Cavia porcellus (domestic guinea pig) is the source of this 67-nucleotide non-coding RNA. The record is from Rfam. Lineage: Eukaryota; Metazoa; Chordata; Mammalia; Rodentia; Caviidae.
GGUUUAGCUCAGCGGCAUAAGCGCCUGCCUUGAAAGCAGGCAGUCGUGAGUUCGAUUCCCAGUACCG